UACGUAGGGGGCAAGCGUUGUCCGGAAUUAUUGGGCGUAAAGCGCGCGCAGGCGGCGCUUUAAGUUGGAGGUUAAAGGCAAUGGCUCAACCAUUGUUCGCCUCCAAAACUGGAGCGCUUGAGUGCAGCAGAGGAAAGUGGAAUUCCCGGUGUAGCGGUGGAAUGCGUAGAGAUCGGGAGGAACACCAGUGGCGAAGGCGACUUUCUGGGCUGUAACUGACGCUGAGGCGCGAAAGCGUGGGGAGCAAACAGG
RNAcentral lists this ribosomal RNA (252 nucleotides) under uncultured bacterium. RNAcentral's name for it is "partial 16S ribosomal RNA". It matches the Rfam family "Bacterial small subunit ribosomal RNA", at positions 524 to 776 of the family's 1533-position model. The record is from RNAcentral.